Molecule: ribosomal RNA, 253 nt
Filed under: uncultured bacterium
Lineage: Bacteria
Description: partial 16S ribosomal RNA
Rfam family: Bacterial small subunit ribosomal RNA
Source: RNAcentral
UACGAAGGGGGCUAGCGUUGCUCAGAAUCACUGGGCGUAAAGGGUGCGUAGGCGGGUCUUUAAGUCAGGGGUGAAAUCCUGGAGCUCAACUCCAGAACUGCCUUUGAUACUGAAGAUCUUGAGUCCGGGAGAGGUGAGUGGAACUGCGAGUGUAGAGGUGAAAUUCGUAGAUAUUCGCAAGAACACCAGUGGCGAAGGCGGCUCACUGGCCCGGUACUGACGCUGAGGCACGAAAGCGUGGGGAGCAAACAGG